UCCAGGGUAGCUUAGUGUACAUGGCAUCUGUCCGGUAAACGAAACACUAUGGGUUCAAUUCCCAUCCUUGGAC
RNAcentral lists this transfer RNA (73 nucleotides) under Cordylochernes scorpioides. RNAcentral's name for it is "tRNA-Thr". It matches the Rfam family "tRNA". From Rfam's summary of the family: Transfer RNA (tRNA) molecules are approximately 80 nucleotides in length. The record is from RNAcentral. Lineage: Eukaryota; Metazoa; Arthropoda; Arachnida; Pseudoscorpiones; Chernetidae.